CGUGGGGAACCUGCCGUAUGCAGGGGGACAACAGUCAGAAAUGACUGCUAAUACCGCAUAAGCACACAAUGCUGCAUGGCAUGGUGUGAAAAGAUUUAUCGGCAUACGAUGGCCCCGCGUCUGAUUAGCCAGUUGGCAGGGUAAUGGCCUACCAAAGCAACGAUCAGUAGCCGGCCUGAGAGGGUGAACGGCCACAUUGGGACUGAGACACGGCCCAAACUCCUACGGAAGGCAGCAG
This 238-nucleotide ribosomal RNA is filed under the name uncultured bacterium. RNAcentral's name for it is "partial 16S ribosomal RNA". It matches the Rfam family "Bacterial small subunit ribosomal RNA", at positions 116 to 354 of the family's 1533-position model. The record is from RNAcentral.